AUGAUGUCAGUUAUUAGAGAACGUAUGGAUGAGGAGGCAAGCCUCAAAGCUCUUGGGUUUAUCAGAACAAUGUCAGGCAUUAAAAGAAGAUCCAGACUUACCUCCCACAUCCAAGUCCACCUUAUAGUUGACAAAAUGGGUGUGGAUCGUACCCAGGGUGUGCUCCCAAAGCCUAUUGCCGUAUCUCAGGCCAUCCCCGUGAAGAAAGGAGGAGCUUGGGUAGCCUGUGGCCUGCACCUUGCCCUCCAUGGCCCCGUUCUGGUAGAAGAUGAAGUCCCACACGUAGUCAUAGUUGCCCACGGUGGCAAUGGACCGAACGACCAGAGCCGAGUUGACCAGCCCCCCGUAGUAGAGCGACUGCAAGUUGGAGUAGUGGCGCCUCAGAGGGGAGCCCAGGUUCUGCUCAAAGAUGCAGAGCGAAGCCUUCCUCCUCUUGGGCCUCAGGCUGGCGGACAGAGAGUGCGUGUCCACGUAGGUGGCCGAGUACGGGCAGUCCACCCCUCGCACCAAGGGGGAGGUGUAGCGGCCCAGGCCAAAGCUCCCGUCCAUGUAGCGUGUGGACAUCCCUGCCGGGCAGUUGGAGCCGUACACCGACAGCGCCUCCUGGACGCUGAUUUCGUAGGCAACCCUCUCCCCCCUGUGCCGGAUGUCAAACAGCCGCAGGCCUGUGCUCACACUCAUCCCAAAGGCAAANNNNNNNNNNNNNNNNNNNNCGUACGCACUCUCCAGCUGAGCCAUGUCUCUGUAGUACUGCCCAUUGUAGAAGACCCUGCUCACAGCCCACUGCGAGAUGUCCAGGCUGCUGUGGUCCACCAGCACCUCCAGCCCCACCGGGUGCACAAAGAAUCCACUCACGUUCUGAAACAGGACAAACCAGGUGACCCGAUCUCCAGACUGGAAUCCAUGAGGGACUGUGGUCUGAAACACGAUGUUGGUUCCAUCGUAUUCAAGGACUUCUUGCAGGAAGGUUGGUGCUGCAGCAAACGCCUUCAUCUCCAAGAACACUCCCAGCUGCUCGUACUCGCUGCCCAGCGUCGGUCUGCGGUGGUACAGCACCUUCCCCCCGUACUUCUGCACCGUCACGUCUCGGUGGUACGCCGGCGUCGGCAGCGGCCCCACCACGUACUCGGUGAUGUUGGGGUCUGGCUGGUUCCCAAAGUACAGCACAGCCAGCGCCUCUCGGCGGGGACGAGCCCCCGCGCCGUCCAGGAACCGCAGCACCUCUGCCUUGCCGGGCACCUGCACAUCCACCGAGGCGAUGCAGUUGUCCGAGGGUUUAGCGCGGGAUGCAGUUGUCCGAGGGUUUAG
RNAcentral lists this long non-coding RNA (1308 nucleotides) under Cyanistes caeruleus (blue tit). RNAcentral's name for it is "lncRNA (ENSCCEG00000021395.1)". Lineage: Eukaryota; Metazoa; Chordata; Aves; Passeriformes; Paridae. The record is from RNAcentral.